SKAAUACAUGCAAGUCGAGCGGAUCUUCAUUAGCUUGCUUUUGAAGAUCAGCGGCGGACGGGUGAGUAACACGUGGGCAACCUGCCUGUAAGACUGGGAUAACUUCGGGAAACCGGAGCUAAUACCGGAUAAUCCUUUCCCUCACAUGAGGGAAAGCUGAAAGACGGUUUCGGCUGUCACUUACAGAUGGGCCCGCGGCGCAUUAGCUAGUUGGUGAGGUAACGGCUCACCAAGGCAACGAUGCGUAGCCGACCUGAGAGGGUGAUCGGCCACACUGGGACUGAGACACGGCCCAGACUCCUACGGGAGGCAGCAGUAGGGAAUCUUCCGCAAUGGACGAAAGUCUGACGGAGCAACGCCGCGUGAACGAUGAAGGCUUUCGGGUCGUAAAGUUCUGUUGUCAGGGAAGAACAAGUACCGGAGUAACUGCCGGUACCUUGACGGUACCUGACCAGAAAGCCACGGCUAACUACGUGCCAGCAGCCGCGGUAAUACGUAGGUGGCAAGCGUUGUCCGGAAUUAUUGGGCGUAAAGCGCGCGCAGGCGGUUCCUUAAGUCUGAUGUGAAAGCCCCCGGCUCAACCGGGGAGGGUCAUUGGAAACUGGGGAACUUGAGUGCAGAAGAGGAGAGCGGAAUUCCACGUGUAGCGGUGAAAUGCGUAGAGAUGUGGAGGAACACCAGUGGCGAAGGCGGCUCUCUGGUCUGUAACUGACGCUGAGGCGCGAAAGCGUGGGGAGCGAACAGGAUUAGAUACCCUGGUAGUCCACGCCGUAAACGAUGAGUGCUAAGUGUUAGAGGGUUUCCGCCCUUUAGUGCUGCGGCACACGCAUUAAGCACUCCGCCGGGGGAGUACAGCCGCAAAGGUAAAACCCAGGGGGGCACCCCUGAAGCCGACACAAC
Molecule: ribosomal RNA, 900 nt
Filed under: Bacillus sp. SK-52
Lineage: Bacteria; Bacillati; Bacillota; Bacilli; Caryophanales; Bacillaceae
Description: bacterial SSU rRNA
Rfam family: Bacterial small subunit ribosomal RNA
Source: RNAcentral